GGGGGCAGUGUUACUGAAAUUAGAAGUUCAGAAAUUUUCUUACUCUCUUUCCCGAGCACAGGAGUUGUUGGCAAUCUCUUUUUACCCCAGUGGAAAGUUAUCCAGCAUGACCACUCAGAGCCUCAAGACUGCUAGACCCAGAGAGAGAUCUUCUUGUGGGAAAACAACUGUGGACUUCUCAGUGCCUUUCCAGGCCCGGCUGGUAUGAAGACUGAGCCUAACACCUUUGCAAAGUGGCAUUUGAGUGAUUUAUAAUGAAGACAAACCUAAGGUAGGAGUUUUUUCCUUGUUUUCCUUACUCAGUUCUUCCUGUGUAAAAAAAAUAAAAUAAAAUAAAAUGGCGUGUUUCCUAAUGAUACUAACUUAAGAGGGAGUGAUUUCUAGCAUAUUGCACACAUGGGU
This 402-nucleotide long non-coding RNA is filed under the name Mustela putorius furo (domestic ferret). RNAcentral describes it as "lncRNA (ENSMPUG00000031790.1)". The record is from RNAcentral. Lineage: Eukaryota; Metazoa; Chordata; Mammalia; Carnivora; Mustelidae.